Molecule: ribosomal RNA, 810 nt
Filed under: Salmonella enterica subsp. enterica serovar Infantis
Lineage: Bacteria; Pseudomonadati; Pseudomonadota; Gammaproteobacteria; Enterobacterales; Enterobacteriaceae
Description: bacterial LSU rRNA
Rfam family: Bacterial large subunit ribosomal RNA
Source: RNAcentral
CAGCCAGGAUGUUGGCUUAGAAGCAGCCAUCAUUUAAAGAAAGCGUAAUAGCUCACUGGUCGAGUCGGCCUGCGCGGAAGAUGUAACGGGGCUAAACCAUGCACCGAAGCUGCGGCAGCGACACUGUGUGUUGUUGGGUAGGGGAGCGUUCUGUAAGCCUGCGAAGGUGGCCUGUGAGGGUUGCUGGAGGUAUCAGAAGUGCGAAUGCUGACAUAAGUAACGAUAAAGCGGGUGAAAAGCCCGCUCGCCGGAAGACCAAGGGUUCCUGUCCAACGUUAAUCGGGGCAGGGUGAGUCGACCCCUAAGGCGAGGCCGAAAGGCGUAGUCGAUGGGAAACGGGUUAAUAUUCCCGUACUUGGUGUUACUGCGAAGGGGGGACGGAGAAGGCUAUGUUGGCCGGGCGACGGUUGUCCCGGUUUAAGCGUGUAGGUGUGUGUUCCAGGUAAAUCCAGUUCACUUUAACACUGAGGCGUGAUGACGAGGCACUACGGUGCUGAAGCAACAAAUGCCCUGCUUCCAGGAAAAGCCUCUAAGCAUCAGGUAACAUCAAAUCGUACCCCAAACCGACACAGGUGGUCAGGUAGAGAAUACCAAGGCGCUUGAGAGAACUCGGGUGAAGGAACUAGGCAAAAUGGUGCCGUAACUUCGGGAGAAGGCACGCUGACACGUAGGUGAAGUGAUUUACUCAUGGAGCUGAAGUCAGUCGAAGAUACCAGCUGGCUGCAACUGUUUAUUAAAAACACAGCACUGUGCAAACACGAAAGUGGACGUAUACGGUGUGACGCCUGCCCGGUGCCGGAAGGUUAAUUG